UUUCGCAAUGCCCGAAAGGGUGACGAAGCGACGCCGCGUGGGUGAGGAAGGCCCUCGGGUUGUAAAGCCCUGUCAGGAGUUAAGAAAUGUAAGUGCGCUAAUAUCGCAUUUAUUUGACGAAGGCUCCAAAGGAAGCCACGGCUAACUCUGUGCCAGCAGCCGCGGUAAUACAGAGGUGGCAAGCGUUGUUCGGAAUUAUUGGGCGUAAAGAGCACGUAGGUGGGUUUGUAAGUCAGAUGUGAAAGCCUUCUGUUCAACGGAAGAAUUGCAUCUGAAACUACAAGUCUUGAGUGUAGGAGGGGAGAAUGGAACUUCUGGUGGAGCGGUGAAAUGCGUAGAUAUCAGAAGGAACGCCGGCGGCGAAAGCGAUUCUCUGGCCUAUUACUGACACUCAGUGUGCGAAAGCUAGGGGAGCAAACGGGAUUAGAUACCCCGGUAGUCCUAGCCGUAAACGAUGGGCACUAAGUAGAGGGG
This 474-nucleotide ribosomal RNA is filed under the name uncultured bacterium. RNAcentral describes it as "bacterial SSU rRNA". It matches the Rfam family "Bacterial small subunit ribosomal RNA", at positions 364 to 828 of the family's 1533-position model. The record is from RNAcentral.